ACCACACCUACGUCAAUCUUGGAAUUGAAUUUUCUUAAUUCCUAUAAACGAAAGAAAAGUAGCUAAAGCAUCCGACUAUUCUCUUCCACUCAAUUGCUCAAAUUUAUCUAUAAAUUGAUGAGCAAAUCCAACAAAACAUGUCCAAAAAGCAAGGCAACACUCUUUUAACUAGAUUUCAAUCUCAAAUAUGGGUAGGAAAGUAAUUGCUUUUGUUAACAUUUUGAUCGCAAUUAUUCUGAUAAUGUCCCCCCAAGUCGCUUUAGCCAGGAAACUUGCGCAGAAUACCGAUACCCACUAUGUAGAAAAAAAGUCGGAGACCCGUAAAGCAUUGAAUCCCAGACGACCUUAUUGCACUGGAAGGUACACCAAGUGCCCACCACCUUAUCACACCUCGCAACGUCCCUGAGAAACUGCAGUCCCAUAUCCGGACCUUAACCGAUCACUUUUAUCCACGUAUUCGUACUGUAACAAAUACCUAUGUCGACGCUUAAAUACUAGUAGUAAAAUAAAGAGACAUUAAAGUCGCCUUUUUAUGGAUGAAAGCUUUUCUAAUUUCUGUACAAGUGCGCAAUGUAAUGCUUAAAAAUCUAUAAUUACUAGUAUAAUAGUAUUAAUGUAUAUUGUAAUUUUCGUGUU
Molecule: long non-coding RNA, 636 nt
Organism: Salvia splendens (bonfire salvia)
Lineage: Eukaryota; Viridiplantae; Streptophyta; Magnoliopsida; Lamiales; Lamiaceae
Exons: 2
Source: RefSeq, a predicted model, not a curated record